AUCGUGAAACCGCGAAUGGCUCAUUACAACAGCUAUAGUUCACUGGAUAUAACCCAGUUACAUGGAUAACUGUGGUAAUUCUACAGCUAAUACACGCUUCAAAACCCUGACUUUACGGAAGGGUGCGUUAGUUAAUUCAAACCAAUCAGACUUCGGUCUGCAUCCAAGUGAAAUUGAACUAUUUAGCUGAUCGCACGGUCUAAGAACCGGCGACAUAUCCUUCAAACAUCUGCCUUAUCAACUGUCGAUGGUAGAUUAUGCGCCUACCAUGGUUGUAACGGGUAACGGAGAAUCAGGGUUUGAUUCCGGAGAGGGAGCCUGAGAAAUGGCUACCACAUCCAAGGAAGGCAGCAGGCACGCAAAUUACCCACUCCCGGCACGGGGAGGUAGUGACGAAAAAUAACAAGCUGGUCUCUAUGAGUUCCGGCAUUGUAAUGGGAACAACCCAAAUCAUUUAUCGAGGAUCUAUUGGAGGGCAAGUCUGGUGCCAGCAGCCGCGGUAAUUCCAGCUCCAAUAGCGUAUA
Molecule: ribosomal RNA, 524 nt
Filed under: Viscosia sp. 214386313
Lineage: Eukaryota; Metazoa; Nematoda; Enoplea; Enoplida; Oncholaimidae
Description: SSU rRNA
Rfam family: Eukaryotic small subunit ribosomal RNA
Source: RNAcentral